GACGAACGCUGGCGGCGUGCCUAACACAUGCAAGUCGAACGGAAACGACCGGCUUUUGCGGGGUGCUCGAGAGGCGAACAGGGGAGUAACACACGAGUAACAUGCCCCCGACUGUGGGGUAACUCAAGGGAACUCGGGCUCUUAAAGGGCAGGAGUCCCCGCUCCAUGGUGGUGGUAGGGGAGUUUCGGCGGAUGCGGAUGGUGUGGGGGCUUAUCAGCGUGCUGGAGGGGUAGGGGCAUACAACGGCUUUGAAAGGUCGCCGACCUGAGAGGGUGUCCGGCCACAUUGGGCCUGAGAGACGGAGCAGUCUCCUAUGGGAGGCAGCAGUGGGGAAUAUUGCACAAUGGGCGGAAGCCUGAUGAAGCGAUGUCGGGUGCGGGAUGCCGGCUUUCGGGUUGUAAACCGCUUUCGGCGGAGACGUAGCGUGAGUGACGGUAAUGGGUAAAGAAGCACCGGCUAACUACGUG
This 468-nucleotide ribosomal RNA is filed under the name uncultured bacterium. RNAcentral's name for it is "partial 16S ribosomal RNA". It matches the Rfam family "Bacterial small subunit ribosomal RNA", at positions 28 to 507 of the family's 1533-position model. The record is from RNAcentral.